GUCACCGCCGGUCCGGACGUGCUUGGGACCGACCAUCCGGCGGUCCGCGAGGCGCGGGCAUACCUCGACGAUGCCGGUCCCAGCCCGGCCGAUGGCC
This 97-nucleotide transfer RNA is filed under the name Salinispora arenicola. Its description in RNAcentral is "tRNA-Arg". The record is from RNAcentral. Lineage: Bacteria; Bacillati; Actinomycetota; Actinomycetes; Micromonosporales; Micromonosporaceae.